AUGAGUACAAAGAUCAACAUCGGGACAUUGCAAAAGUUCUACCGCAAUAAGCAUUCAUGCAGCCAUGAUAAAUUUUUGCCUCGGUUUUUGGGAGGACUGAAUACUGGUGAUCAGAAACCUUGGGUGUGUUUGGAUGGUGGCCAAAAUCAAAAAAAGGGCAACCUGGUGCAUGUAGCUCCCGCUUGCGCAGGGUCCAGGGAAGGGUCCGACCACUUUGGGUCUAUAGUACGCAGCCUUUCCCUACAUUUCUGUAAGAGGCUGUUUCCAGGACUUGAACCCAUGACCUCAUGGUCACAAGGCAGCAGCUUUACCACUGCGCCAAGGCUCCCCUUCAUGACCAAAAUUUUGGUCUAUAUUUGGAUGGCAACCAACUUUUUGGCAUGCCAAUACUUCUUUUACCAAUCUAGUUCACUUUUCUUGCCAAUGUCGGCCAAUUCGUGGGCAAGCAAAAAACUCCACCAAAAUUUUGGCCAGCCAACUAUAUGCUAG
Molecule: ribosomal RNA, 489 nt
Filed under: Triticum aestivum (bread wheat)
Lineage: Eukaryota; Viridiplantae; Streptophyta; Magnoliopsida; Poales; Poaceae
Description: partial small subunit ribosomal RNA
Source: RNAcentral